CUGGACGCAGUCACAGAGGGUGAGAAUCCCGUCUAGGAUCGUACGCCGCGUCCAUGUGAAGCUCCUUCGACGAGUCGAGUUGUUUGGGAAUGCAGCUCUAAAUGGGUGGUAAAUUUCAUCUAAAGCUAAAUAUUGGCCAGAGACCGAUAGCGCACAAGUAGAGUGAUCGAAAGAUGAAAAGCACUUUGAAAAGAGAGUUAAACAGUAUGUGAAAUUGUUGAAAGGGAAGCGCUUGCAAUCAAACUUGUGUCUGACGGUUCCCCCGGCCUUCUGGCCGGGUUACUCCGUCAUGUCCAGGCCAACAUCGGUUUGGGUGGUCGGUGAAAGACCCCGGGAAUGUAUCUACCUUCGGGUCGACUUAUAGCCCGGGGUGCAACGCGGCCUACCCGGACCGAGGAACGCGCUCCGGCUCGGAUGUUGGCGUAAUGGUUGUAAGCGGCCCGUCUUGAAACACGGACCAAGGAGUCUAACAUCUAUGCGAGUGUUUGGGUGUUAAACCCCUACGCGUAAUGAAAGUGAACGGAGGUAAGAACCCCGUAAGGGGCGCAUUAUCGACCGAUCCUGAUGUCUUCGGAUGGAUUUGAGUAAGAGCAUAGCUGUUGGGACCCGAAAGAUGGUGAACUAUGCAUGAAUAGGGUGAAGCCAGAGGAAACUCUGGUGGAGGCUCGCAGCGGUUCUGACGUGCAAAU
This 689-nucleotide ribosomal RNA is filed under the name Verrucaria hunsrueckensis. RNAcentral's name for it is "eukaryotic LSU rRNA". It matches the Rfam family "Eukaryotic large subunit ribosomal RNA", at positions 196 to 898 of the family's 3401-position model. The record is from RNAcentral. Lineage: Eukaryota; Fungi; Ascomycota; Eurotiomycetes; Verrucariales; Verrucariaceae.